RNAcentral lists this ribosomal RNA (458 nucleotides) under uncultured bacterium. Its description in RNAcentral is "partial 16S ribosomal RNA". It matches the Rfam family "Bacterial small subunit ribosomal RNA", at positions 338 to 795 of the family's 1533-position model. The record is from RNAcentral.
CCUACGGGUGGCUGCAGUGAGGAAUAUUGGUCAAUGGCCGGAAGGCUGAACCAGCCAUGCCGCGUGAAGGUCAGUGCCCUAUUGGCGUUAAACUUCUUUUGUUCGGGAGCAAUAAUGGUCACGUGUGGCCAGUCGAGAGUACCGUUCGAAUAAACAUCGGCUAACUCCGUGCCAGCAGCCGCGGUAAUACGGGGGAUGCAAGCGUUAUCCGGAUUUAUUGGGUUUAAAGGGUGCGUAGGGUGUGAGGUAAGUCAGCGGUGAAAUGUCGGGGCUCAACCCCGGCCGGCCGUUGAAACUGGUUUUCUAGAGUUGGAGAGAAGUAGGCGGAAUUCGUGGUGUAGCGGUGAAAUGCAUAGAUAUCACGAAGAACUCCGAUUGCGAAGGCAGCAUACCGGGUCCAUACUGACGCUGAGGCACGAAAGCGUGGGGAUCGAACAGGAUUAGAUACCCUUGUAGUC